UACGUAGGGGGCAAGCGUUGUCCGGAUUCAUUGGGCGUAAAGAGCGCGCAGGCGGUCGUUCAAGUCGCGUGUGAAAGCCCCCGGCUCAACUGGGGAGGGUCACGCGAUACUGAUCGACUCGAAGGCAGGAGAGGGUAGUGGAAUUCCCGGUGUAGUGGUGAAAUGCGUAGAUAUCGGGAGGAACACCAGUGGCGAAGGCGACUACCUGGCCUGUUUCUUGACGCUGAGGCGCGAAAGCUAGGGGAGCAAACGGG
RNAcentral lists this ribosomal RNA (254 nucleotides) under uncultured bacterium. RNAcentral describes it as "partial 16S ribosomal RNA". It matches the Rfam family "Bacterial small subunit ribosomal RNA", at positions 524 to 776 of the family's 1533-position model. The record is from RNAcentral.